UACUUCUGGGAUGAUAUUCUUUUCAAUAACCAUCCUUAAACAUAUGUUACAAACUUAUUUCCUUCCUGUCCAAAACAGUUGUUUCAUUUUUCCCAUUAGGAAGAUAAGCAAAUAAACUGUGAAGUCACAGAUAACUCUGGCAUGGUACAACUUGACUGCAGUAUUGGCUAUAUAUAUGUAGAUCAUCUCUCAAGCAUAGAUAUUAGCUUUCUCCUGGAUGUGAGCUCACUCAGCAGAGCAGAAGAGGACCUCAAUAUCACAGUGCAUGCUACCUGGUAUAAUUUAUUGUUAAUAAAAUGAACUAGAAAUGUACCCCCAUAUUUUGAGGGGGGAAUUAGGAGAACCAUAAAACUGUGUUCCAUUAAUUGUAACAGAAAACUUCUCUUAC
This 388-nucleotide small RNA is filed under the name Pongo abelii (Sumatran orangutan). Its description in RNAcentral is "retained intron". The record is from RNAcentral. Lineage: Eukaryota; Metazoa; Chordata; Mammalia; Primates; Hominidae.